Molecule: long non-coding RNA, 6566 nt
Filed under: Solanum tuberosum (potato)
Lineage: Eukaryota; Viridiplantae; Streptophyta; Magnoliopsida; Solanales; Solanaceae
Description: long non-coding RNA (STUB_LNC000507)
Source: RNAcentral
CUGUCCUGUUUAGCAAGAAACUAACAAACAGCGAUAUGGCGGCGUAUGCUGCUGUGACUUCACUUUUGCAUACCCUGGACAGUCUAUCUCAAACUGAUAUUCUUUACAAAAAAAAGCAAACUGAAGUCCUCAGUGACAAGUACACCUUCCUUAAAACCUUUCUUGAGGAUUUUACUAAUAUUUUCCAUGAAGAUGUAAAGAUGAAGCAUCUCGAAAGGAUAAUCCAAGAAGCUGCUAAUGGAGUGGAAGAUACUAUUGACUCACAUGUAUAUGAUAGACAUGUUUUAGUACAAAGCAAGCAAGUACGAAGUAAGGCUGAUGCAAUUUUCCAUCAAAACUUGGAAUAUGCAAUUGAGGAAAUUGGUUUGAUACAAAAAGAGGUUAUGAAAAAGAUAAAGGUCAACAAGUUCAACAGCAAAAUCUCUCAUUCAAGAGAUACUUCAUCUCAGAUCCCUUUGGAUCAAAAAGAUAUAAUCGUUGGACUAGAUGAAGAUUUACUAAGGAUAAAAGAUCGACUCAUCGUGCAAUCAUCAAGACUCGAAGUUGUCCCUAUUAUAGGGAUGGGUGGUAUUGGCAAGACCACACUGGCUAGAAGAGUUUAUGAUGAUUCCUUGAUUGCAUACCAUUUUUAUGUCCGAGCAUGGACAAAUGUAUCUCAAGAAUUUGACACCAGAGAAAUUUUUCUUGGUAUUCUUCGCUCCAUUGGCGCAGUCAACGAUGAAGUAGAAAGAAACAGUACUAAUGAGCAAUUGGCUGAAAGAGUUUAUCGAAGUUUAAAAGGGAGGAAGUAUCUUAUUGUCCUAGAUGAUAUGUGGUCCAUCGAGGCUUGGCAGCAUGUGAGGAGAUCAUUUCCAGAUGAUCAUAAUGGAAGUCGAAUCGUGUUGACCACAAGGCUUGCAGAUGUUGCAUCUUGUGCUUGCUCUGUCAAUUCCCUUCACCAGAUGCGCUUUCUGAGCAUGGAGGAAAGCUGGACUCUUUUACGCGAUAAGGUCUUUGGGAACGGUAGUUACUCUCCGGAAUUGGAGAAAAUUGGGAGAUACAUUGUCCAUCAGUGUCAAGGGUUGCCACUUGCAGUUGUUGCAAUUGGUGGACUACUUUCCAAGAUGAGCAAGGAAACAAGUUCUUGGGAGAAUGUUGCAGAAAAGGUAGGAUCGCUUAUGACCAGUGACACUACGGAUUGCUUGAACAUACUUUCUUUGAGCUACAACCACUUGCCUCAGUACUUGAAAGCAUGCUUCCUUUAUAUGGGAGUUUUUGCAGAAAUCCGUGAGAUCCCGGUCUGGAAGUUAAUAAAGUUAUGGAUUGCUGAGGGCUUCGUCAAGAAAGUUAAUCAUAAAAAUCUAGAAGAUGUGGCAGAGGAAAAUUUGAGGGAGUUAGUUGAUAGAAGUUUGGUUUUGGUGGGGAAGCAUACUUCCCUACGAAAAAUCAAGACUUGUAAGAUGCAUGAUCUCGUUCGAGAUAUGUGUUUGAGAGAAGCCAAAUAUGAGAAUUUUAUACACUUCAAAACAAGGUAUGACCAUGAUGACCUUCUAGAAAACAUUAGUUGUCUACGUCGUGUAGCUGAUUUCCAUAAGUAUACAGACAGUGAACUUUCUAAACUUAUGCCACACACACGUUCUGUUUUCUUCAAAUAUCCAUACUUUUUUGUUUCCUCUCACAGUCGAGCUUUAGAUUACUUAGGAUAUUAGAUGUUUGCUUUGAUCCUUUUUUUAACUGUUCUCCGUCCAUAUCCGAAUUGAUUCAUUUGAGGUAUCUUGCUUGUCCGUCCUUCGAUGGCCUUGUGCAGUCAAUAUGCAAGCUUCGGAAUUUACAGAACUUAGUUAUUCAUGAUUCAUGUCCAUUUGGUUUAUGUAUGUGGGAAGUUGUGAAUAUGCCUCAACUAAGACAUAUCCAUACAAAAAAGUUUAUUCUUUUCAUACCCCCACCUACAUCACUAAUUGCUGUGAGGGAGAAUCAUUUACAAACGUUAACCGGAUUGAUUUCCUCAUCUUGUAAUGAAGAGGUGUUUCUAAGAAUUCCAAAUUUGAAGAAGUUGGGAAUAUUAAUUGAUGUUGUUUCAGACACUAUUCAGAAGUGUUAUUGUCUUGAUAAUCUUGUACAUUUAACUCAGCUUGAGAAGCUCAAAGUUGAGUGCGAUUAUCUGCAGGAGUUAAUUUGGAUCUUAGGAGCUCGAAGCUUAGGUUGGGUGGGCCUUCCUUUGCUACACAUUCCACAUUGUGAAAAUUUCCCACCAAACCUUAAGAAGUUAACAUUGUGCAGAACGUACCUACAAUGGGAAGACAUGAACAUUCUCAGAAAAUUACCUAAUCUUGAGGUGCUCAAACUUAAACAUAAUGCCUUUGACGGACUAAUUUGGAUACUAAGCGAUGAAGACGAAGAUGGAUUCUUGAAGCUAAAGUUUUUACUUCUUAAGCGCAUGAGUCUGAAGCAAUGGGAAGCAACAAGUUAUCAUUUUCCAAGCCUUGAGCACUUAGUCCUAAAAGAUUGCCGGAACUUGGAACAAAUUCCUUUCGACUUUGCGGAGAUUCAGACACUACAGCUGAUUGAACUACACGAAUGUAUGCGUUCUGUUCUUGUUUCAGCAGAGCAAAUACAAGCGGAGCAACAAAGCUUGGGAAAUGAUGACCUCAUUAUUCAUGCGAACUAUAUAUGUGAGUAAACAUUAAUCAAAAAGGUAUACAUUUCUUAAAAGCAUAAAUUUUUUGAUUAGCUAGAUUCGUUCGAAAUCUGAAAAUGUUUUUAUAUUCAUCAUUUUCACUUAUUUAUACUAUAAAAGGUGCUAAUUACAAUUGGUUUGUGCAUUGAAGACGUAACGACUAGCUGAUGGAGAGUACCAAAAGGUAUAUAUACUCAAGCAAAUUUGCAGAAGUUCAUAAUCUUUCCUGUCUGUGUAUUUCAAUUUCCUUUUUUUCAAAUUCAGGGAAGUAAGUUAGUGAAAUAGUCAUGUUUCGACUUGUUUAGGACUGAGACUUAGUUUAGUGAAUCUGAUAUCUAUAUACAUUCAUCAGAAAGAAUACAUUACCUUUGGAAUGUGUAUAUAGUUGAAUAACUUCUCUUUUUAUUGAAAUUGAUUCUAUAAAUCAGUUCUCCUCAACAAAACCUUUUUCGUCCAUUACCAAACACACCCUUAGUGUUUCUUUGUUUUGCUCGUCUUAACUCUUAUCUAUACUUUAACAUUUUUGUGUUUUACUUGCUUCUUUUGUUUACAAUAAUGUUUUAUCAUUUUGAAUAUGUUGACUUUUAGUCAAUUUUAUUUUUCUUUAGUUCAAAACAAUAUAAUAAAAGAGGCGUUGAAAAAUUCCAAAUACGUGAAACGUAAUCUUCUCUUUAUUUUGCUUUGCUCUUUCGAUCUUAAUUUAUAUAACGUAUUUCGCUUUUUAGUAUGUCUCAAAACAAAUUUACUACAUUUUUCUAAUUUGAAUAUAUAUUAAAAUUGUGGAUAUCAUAUUUUAGUCAUGAUGUUAUACUUUAGUUAAAGAAUAUUUCUUUUUACUUGUUCACUUUAGCAAAUCAAGAUCAUAAAAUUAUUAAUUGAUUUUUUUAUAAUUGUAGCGUCUAAGUCCGUUUGUAUGCGCACCGACUAAUUCUAUGAUAUACUAUAUCUAUUAUUCCUCACCAACCAUGCAUAAAGUAACUUUGUUAUCAAAGCUUGAACUGAUAAGAAGAAAUCAUCACGUGUUCUUAAUUAGCUAUAUCUAGAAUUUGAAUUUAAAAUCCCAUAAUUUUCAACACAUGACUUCAUUGACCAUCUUUCAAAAACAACAUAAGAUCUACAUUUAUUCUAUCUUUUCUUCCUGAUAAAUGAAAUUACACAAAAUACGUUGCGGUUGUUAUAUUGUCUUUGUGUAUCUAAAGUGAUAUGGGUGUGAGUGGGAACAUCCCAUGAGCAUAUGCUCAAGAAAAGGAUAUUGAAAACAAUGUGUAUGAAUUGUGCCCAAAUUAAAGUCAAUUCACUAUGCAUUUUCUUUAGAAAGAAAUGAAGGGUACAAACAUGUUUUUUUAAUAUUCAAGUUGGAAUAAACAACACAAUAUAAUCAAACUGAGAAAUGAUAUUCAAUAUACUUUUGCAGGCAUCCAGCAAGUUGGAAUAGUUUAAAGGUAAAAUGCAUAAGUACCCCCAGCUUAUGUUCAAAAUCCCUGAGACAUACCUAACAUUUACUAAGGUCCUAUUACUCUCUUGAACUUAUUUUAUAUAUAAUUUUCUACCCCUUUUCAGCUUACAUGGCACUAUCUUGUGGGUCCAGCGCGUGUUGUCAAUUUUUCCAAGGAUAGUGCCACGUAGGCCGAAAAGGGGUAAAGAAUUAUAUAUAAAAUAAGUUUAGGGGUAAUAGGACCUUAGUAAAGGUUAGGUGUGUCUUAGAAAUUUUGGACAUAGGCUGGGGGUACCUUAUGCAUUUCCCCUAGUAUAAAUCAGAUGAGUUCAAAAAGUUGGCACCAUACCGGGUGCAAUUCCGCAAGUAGGGUCUCGGAGGUUAAAAUGUACGCAACCUUAUGAAGGUAGACACACUAUUUUAAGUAGACUCUCGGCUCAAGUAACGCUUAGAAAGAAAAUAUAGUAGGAAGAAGUCAUGCUAAAAAUAACGCAGGAGAGAAUAGUAACAAGAUGUUAAAUAAUGUGGAGCCCAAAUGUAAUUUUCUAACUUUUUUUCUUUUUGUAUUUCUUUCCACAAAAAUAUUGAACUUUGAACUUCACACAUAAAAUCAAUGUUAAAUUUGUCUUACCUUCCCCUCCAAAAUAACCUCUUUAAAAAUGACACAAAUGAAGAAAUUGCACUGAUCCAAAUGAGGAAAAUCAGUUGAAAAGCUUGGAUCUUCCACUGAUGUAAAAAAAAAAUUGAGUCCCCUUUUCCUCUUUUAGUGUAAAGUUCAAAUCUUUGUACUGAUAAUCAGUUUUGAUUGGUUUUUAAAAAAAAAAAAUUAACCCCCUUUUCCUCUUUCAGUUUAAAGCUCAAAUCUUUUUACUGAUAAUCAUUUUAUUUUUUUGCAGAGUUAUGGAGAGCAACACUUAAGAGGAUUGCAAGAGUAACUUAUUUUCCCCCAUAGUACAGUUUCCUCUCUUUUUUUCUCAAUACAUUGCAUUUUUGUUAUUGUUAUUGUUGUUGUUGUUGUGGGUUAGUACAUAAAUGUUGAUCUUUAUUGUGCUUAAUUAUUAUUUCAGAAAGUCACGCUUCUUCUUGAUUUCAAUUUUUUUCAACAAAGAAAGUGACCUUCUGACAAUAAUAACUAUUAGUUGAAUGACCAUCUUAGAAAGUGACAUUUCAAUUUUUUUCGACAAAGAAAGUGACAUUACCUAACCAUAGUUAUUUUUCAAAGAUAUGAUCAAAAAGUGGCUCAUUACGGUAUGAAUGUAGUUUGGGCAAGUUGUAUGACUUUGGGACUCAUUUUAAAAAACUAUUCCAACUUGCCUUUUGGUACAAGUCUUAAAUACCAUUGACUUCAAUCAAAACUCUCUUAUAGAGAAACAGACACAAAGAGAAGACUUCUCUUUACAUAGCCUAACAAGUCUUGCAUUCCCAUCCAUUACACUGCCUUAUCCGAUAGACCCUCGACACAACAAUAAAGAAAAGAAUUUGAAGCAUGGUAGCAAGAAAAUAUGACAGCAAAACAGCAAGAUACAAAUCAAAUGAAGCAACAAGUAGUAAUGCACAUCGAAGAAAAAGAAACAAAGUGCAACAAUAUUGCUACCUACUAACCUUCUAAUGUAAUCCUCAACUUUCACUCCUUCCUACCUAGGGUCAUAUCCGGAGUAAAACUUGUAGAUUUUGAAAUUACCUGACUAUAGUUAUUUUUAGAAGAUAUGUCCGAAAGUGUCUCUCUAGUAUGAAUGUAGUUUGGGCAUGGGUCUCUGACAAACUAUUCCAACUUGCUUUUUGGUACAAGUCUUUAAAUACAAUUUGAGUCUCAAUCUGACAAAUAAUUCAAUGAGCAAAACAAGAAUUCUCACUUCUACCCUUCCACCAACCCCACCAUUACUCUCUUGGAGAGAAACAGACACAAAGAGAAGACUUCUCUUUACAAAACCUAAAAAGUCUAGCAUUCCCAUCCAUUACAUUGCCUUCUUCUUUCAUAAAGAAUUGGUUUUGAACAUCUAAAUCAAGAACUCAGAACUUCCUCCUAUUGUCCUGUAUAGUGAGAAACUAACAAACAGCGAUAUGGCGGCGUAUGCUGCUGUGACUUCACUUUUGCAAACCCUGGAUCAUCUAUCUCAAACUCAUACAUCACAUUCUCUUCAUUACAAAAAAGAGCAAACUGAAGUCCUCAGUGAGAAGUACACCUUCCUUAAAACCUUUCUUGAGGAUUUUACUAAUAUUUUCCAUGAAGAUGUAAUGAUGAAGCAUCUCGAAAGGAUGAUCCAAGAAGCUGCUAAUGGAGUGGAAGAUACUAUUGACUCACAUGUAUAUGAUAGACAUGUUUUAGUACAAAGCAAGCGAGUACGAAGAAAGGCUAAUACAACUUUCCAUCAAAACUUGGAAUAUGCAAUUGAGGAAAUUGGUUUGAUACAAAAAGAGGUUAUGAAAAAGAUAAAAGGUCAACAAGUUCAACAGUAAAAAUCUCUCAUUCAAGAG